RNAcentral lists this long non-coding RNA (269 nucleotides) under Gossypium raimondii (Peruvian cotton). RNAcentral's name for it is "long non-coding RNA (GRAI_LNC001721)". Lineage: Eukaryota; Viridiplantae; Streptophyta; Magnoliopsida; Malvales; Malvaceae. The record is from RNAcentral.
AGGGACUAAUUUCAUAAUUCUUUAAAAGUAUAGGGACUAUAAGCACAUUUUAACCUAAUUCAACGCUUGGGAAAAAGUAAAUUUACCUCAGCAGCAAGGUAUUCAAGAACAGCAGCAAGGUAAACCGGAGCACCGGUUCCCACACGUUGAGAGUAUCGCCCUUUCUUCAAGUAUCGGCCAAUUCGACCAACGGGAAACUGUAAUCCGGCUUUCACCGAACGAGAAACCGGCUUCUUCUUUGGACCGCCGCCUUUCCUUCCUCCAGCUCC